GACGAACGCUGGCGGCGUGCUUAACACAUGCAAGUCGAACGGAAAGGCCCUGCUUGCAGGGUACUCGAGUGGCGAACGGGUGAGUAACACGUGGGUGAUCUGCCCUGCACUUCGGGAUAAGCCUGGGAAACUGGGUCUAAUACCGGAUAGGAGCCAUAUUUAGUGUGAUGGUUGGAAAGUUUUUUCGGUGUAGGAUGAGCUCGCGGCCUAUCAGCUUGUUGGUGGGGUAAUGGACUACCAAGGCGGCGACGGGUAGCCGGCCUGAGCGGGUGGACGGCCACACUGGGACGGAGUGACGGCCCAGACACCUACGGGAGGCAGGGGGGGGGAAUAUUGCACAAGGGGCGCAAGACUGAUGCAGCGACGCCGCGUGGGGGAUGACGGCAUUCGGGUUGUAAACUCCUUUCGCUAGGGACGAAGCAUUUUGUGACGGUACCUAGAUAAGAAGCACCGGCUAACUACGUG
RNAcentral lists this ribosomal RNA (465 nucleotides) under uncultured bacterium. RNAcentral describes it as "partial 16S ribosomal RNA". It matches the Rfam family "Bacterial small subunit ribosomal RNA", at positions 28 to 507 of the family's 1533-position model. The record is from RNAcentral.